RNAcentral lists this ribosomal RNA (571 nucleotides) under Triticum aestivum (bread wheat). Its description in RNAcentral is "partial small subunit ribosomal RNA". The record is from RNAcentral. Lineage: Eukaryota; Viridiplantae; Streptophyta; Magnoliopsida; Poales; Poaceae.
GAAAAGGCGAGGGUCAAAGAUGUUGGGUGGUAUAGGUUAGACGCCGCCGAGGUUCGGAGCGGGGCUCGCCACGGGAGACGGCCGAUGCAGACCAGAGGAGCCAGCUGCUGGAGUGGUCAGUCCCGGCCAGCCGAAGGGAACAGGAGGGGCAGGGGACCGGCGUGGAGAGGACCGCAGCAGGAGUUGCAGGCGUUCGGUCCAGGUACGGCCGCAGUAGGAGGACGUUUUAAGACGGUGUAGUUCGGUCGCGUGGGAGUUUAGGGUAGACGAGAUAGUUCGUCCAGUUUUUCUGUUUCGACUGGUGAGGUUGUGUUGGAUUCUGUAAACACGAGGUUCUUUUGUAGUUCUGUAAACAUCUUAACCUUACGUAACGUCCUCGUUCCUCGUUGGUGUGUUCUUAAUCAGAAAUUUACUUGUGUAUAAUACAUAUUACAUACCUUUCGAAUCAAGAUCAAACAUCAUAGAAAAUUAAUAAAUGUAUAAAGUAUACUUACAACCUAGACUACGUCGACACUUGAGGUACAGAGGUAUGUGAAAAUCACAUACAUAAACAAGUAUAUGAACAAUGUUU